Molecule: ribosomal RNA, 274 nt
Filed under: uncultured bacterium
Lineage: Bacteria
Description: partial 16S ribosomal RNA
Rfam family: Bacterial small subunit ribosomal RNA
Source: RNAcentral
AUACGGAGGGUGCAAGCGUUGUUCGGAAUUAUUGGGCGUAAAGCGGAUGUAGGCGGUUUGUUAAGUCGGAUGUGAAAUCCCUGGGCUCAACCCAGGAACUGCAUUCGAUACUGGCAAACUAGAGUCUCGGAGGGGGUGGCGGAAUUCCCGGUGUAGAGGUGAAAUUCGUAGAUAUCGGGAGGAACACCAGUGGCGAAGGCGGCCACCUGGACGAUGACUGACGCUCAGAUCCGAAAGCGUGGGGAGCAAACAGAAUUAGAAACCCUAGUAGUCC